Molecule: long non-coding RNA, 10387 nt
Filed under: Triticum aestivum (bread wheat)
Lineage: Eukaryota; Viridiplantae; Streptophyta; Magnoliopsida; Poales; Poaceae
Description: long non-coding RNA (TAES_LNC020938)
Source: RNAcentral
AAUCUUCACACAACCCAUGUAAUACAUAAGGGAAAGAGAUACAUAGUUGGCUUACAAUCGCCACUUCACCCAAUUACAUGAAUAAAGCAUUACAUCAAACAAUACAAUCAAGGUCCGACUACGGAACCAAAAUAAAAGAAGACUACCCCAAAUGCUACACAGAUCCCCGAUCGACCCCAACUGGGCUCCUCUACUGAUCAACUGGAAACAGAACAACAUAAAGGACAAGAUCAUCAUCGAGCUCCUCCUUGAGCUUGGUUGCGUCAUCUGCACGGUUCAACGGCACCUGCAAACUGGUUUUGGAAGUAUCUGUGAGUCAUGGGGACUCAGCACUCUCACACCCUCGCGAUCAAGACUAUUUAAGCUUAUGGGUAAGGUAAAAUGUAUGAGGUGAAGCUGCAACAAGCGACUAGCAUAUAUGGUGGCUACACAUACGCAAAUAAGAGCGAGAAGAGAAGGAAAAGCACCAUCGAGAAACUAUGAUCAAGAAGUGAUCCUAGAACAACCUACGCCAAACAUUACUCCAACACCGUGUUCACUUCCCGGACUCUGCCGGAAAGAGACCAUCAUGGUUACACACGCGGUUGAUGCAUUUUUAAAUAAGGUCAAAUUCAGGUUUUCUACAACCGGACGUUAACAAAUUCCCAUCUGCCCAUAACCGUGGGCACGGCUUUCGAAAGUUCAAAUCCCUGCAGGGGUGUCCCAACUUAGCCCAUCACAAGCUCUCACGGUCAACGAAGGAAUAGACCUCCUCCCGAGACAUUCCGAUCAGACUCGGUAUCCCGGUUCUACAAGACAUCCUCGACAAUGGUAAAACAAGUCCAGCAACACCGCCCGAAUGUGCCGACAAAUCCCGAUAGGAGCUGCACAUAUCUCGUUCUCAGGGCACACUCAGAUGAGCAGUCCGUACAACUAAAACCAGCCCUCGAGUUCCCCGAGGUGGCGCUGCAAGGGGCUCUAGUUUGGACCAACACUUAGAGGAGCACUGGCCCGGGGGGUUAAAAUAAUGAUGACCCUCAGGAGCGCGACUCCCAAGGGAAAAAGAGGCUAGGUGGCAAAUGGUAAAACCAAUGUUGGGCAUUACUGGAGGAGUUUUAUUCAAAGCAAACUGUCAAGGGGUUCCCAUUAUAACCCAAUCGCGUGAGGAACGCAAAAUCCGGGAACAUAACACUAAUAUGACAGAAACUAGGGCGGCAAGAGUGGAACAAAACACCAGGCAUAAGGCCGAGCCUUCCACCCUUUACCAAGUAUAUAGAUGCAUUAAUUUAAUAAGAUAUAUUGUGAUAUCCCAACAUAUAAGCAUGUUCCAACAAGGAACAACAUCUCCAUGUUCCAACAAGGAACAAACUUCAAUCUUCACCUGCAACUAACAAUGCUAUAAGAGGGGCUGAGCGAAGCGGUGACAUAGCCAAUCAACGAUUUGCUAGGACAAGGUGGGUUAGAGGCUUGGUUCAACAAUAUGGGUGGCAUGAUAAGCAAGUGGUAGGUAUCGCAGCAUAGGCAUAGCAAAAGAGCGAGCAACUAAGCAAGCAAAGAUAGAAGUGAUUUCGAGGGUAUGAUCAUCUUGCCUGAGAUCCCGCAAGGAAGACGAACGAGUCCAUGAAGAAGACAAACGGAUGUAGUCGAAUGAAUCCUCACAACACGACGUUAUCGGAACCAACCCGAAGAAGCAACACCGGAAAGAAGCAAACAAUCAUGGUGAACAAACAUCACAUAAGCAUGGAACGAUGCGUAAACAAGUAUGAUGCAUGUCCGGUUUAAUGAUAAAUGGCAUGGCAAAAUGCACAAGCAAUACUACAAAUUAAGUGGAGCUCAAUAUGCAACUCUGUUGCAUAUUGACGAAACACCACGUGACUUAUUAAGUUCGAUCUUGUUUAUGUACCCAACAAUAUUAAAUGUUGUUAAACAUGGGAAGAGGGUGAAGCAAAGAAAACUACCUAUCUAGUCAAGUUUAAAUGAGGCCGGAAACAACGAACAACAAUUUCCGAAAACUCCUCAUAUGCAUAUAUUAGGUUUGGUACUGUUCUGUCCUAAACCAUAUUUUAUAGUUGUUAAACAUGCCAAGUAAAGCCACCAUGUUAAACUAGGCAUUUUCCCACCCCAUUUACAUAUAAAGUUUAUUAAAUUUGGAGUUACGGUUAUUUAGUUAUGAAUUAAAGCAUUUUAACAUGGCAUAGGAGCAAAUUUAAUCAAACACCAUUUUAAACAUUUCAAACAUGGAUGAAAGUUGCACAAUAUGAAUCUACACAAAAUUCUAAGCAUGUUUCAUAUAUAGAGUUUUUACAUAUGAUGCAUUAUUUAUAAGUUUUAUAUGCAUGAAGACUAGGGGUUUUUCUGUAAAACCGUAAACUCUGGAUAAUUACUAAAAUCACUGGACAGGAAAAAAAACAUAGCGGGCCGGAUCUGGCUGGCCCAACCGAAACAGACGUUGGGGAAGGCUGCUCACCCAUGGGCCCCUUGGGCCGGCAGGAAAAAUAGAGGAGGCAUGGCGUUGGGCCUGAAGGCGAUGCAAAGGGCCCAUAUGCACUACCGCUCGUCCUCCCCGCUCGAGCGGGCGCAGAAAACAGAGGAGGCGGCGCACGGCAUGGCAGCGUUCAUCGACGGGUCCCCGGGGCGCGGACCAGCAAGGAGAUGACUGGAAGAGGUAGAUCCGAGCACGGGACGACAAGGGCAACCGGAUCCGGGGUGGAGAUGGCCGGCGGUGUCGACCUGCGAAGGGCACAUAGAGAGAGGCCAUGAGAGAGCAGAGAGAUGGAGAGGGAGUGACGAAGAGAGAGGAGGGCAGGGAAGGCGGCCCGGUUCUGGUGGUGCUCCGACGGCUCUGCUGGCCGGCGGCGAGGGCUCAUCUGCUGGUGGAGGCGCGGCUGCGGGGUGGAGGAGGUGCUGGGCAUGAGCGAGGCCGGCGAGGCGGCGGCAGGAGAGCUCCUUGGACGCCAUGGCUGGGCGCUACAGUCACCGACGCGGACGGCAGACGCACGGCGGCGCAGCAGGGGCACGGCGGGAACGGCGCGGGAAUGGAGGCAGCGACAGGGAUCUCCGGUGGCGGAGCUCGACGCGUAGGCCGGCGGUGACUUCCAUGACGCCGGUGUGCUCCUGUGAAGAGAGCAAAGAGAGAUGAGGUGAGGGGAGAACCAGAGAGGGAAAAAAGUAUGAAGGGUGAGAGAGGAACAAGGAGGGUCCAUGGCAAGCAAUUCCUGCUGGUGCUCGGCGUCGAGGUUCGCUGGGGCAGAGAAGGAGCUCCUCUCCUUUGGACUUGAGCGAAGCAAGGAGGAAGAGGCAUCGAGAGGGAGAAGAGCUCGGGUGCGGGGCUGCGUGGAUGGAUUGGAUCUGGGUGCGGCUGAUGGUUGGUGCAGGGGGGAAUGAGAGGAUCCCAAGGUGGGGAAUGAGUGCGGCGGCGGCGGCGGCUGGGAGGAUCCCUAGGAAUUAGGGAUCUGGUCUAGGUUAGGCUAGUAUAUAUAGCAAGUGGGUUGACUUAGGGGUAUAUCGUCCCUCCGAUCGCAAUCGAACGAUCGCGAAUAAAAUAGCUAGGAAGUCCAAAUAAGAAAACGGAGACGUUUUGUAGAUGUUUGGGGAUGAUCCGGACACAACGGUGAUGACUGCUCGGGUCGGAUCCAGGACAACUUUCGGACGCGUGCGAGGGGGGUUGCGGGCUGACGAGAGAGGUUAGGUUGGACCUGGCGGUAGGUAGUGAGCUGUGUAGACGGUCUCGAGCUGAGAGAAGAGAAGAGAGGGAGGCCCGGCGACUGUUUCCGUAGACCGAAAACGUCCGACGUUAGACCGGCUACUAUUGCCGCUAUAUUUAACGGUUGGACUAUCAAACGAACUCCGAAUGCGAUGAAACUUGACAGGCGGUCUAUCUACACUAAAAUAAGACCACACGCCAACUUUCAACCCAUUCCGAGAACAUUUUCCGGCCACUUAUAAAAUACUAUUUCGGACAUGCCGCGGGCGCGUGCAAGUGUGUCUGGGCUCAAAACGGACAACAGACGGAACUGGGGGAACCCGGACGGAUGCAUGUUUUGAAAACAUGAUGAUGCAAUGCACAUGAUGACAAGAUGAAAUGCAACACGCAAGCAAAUGACAUGGCAAUGACAACGAAUAACUGGAAGACACCUGGCACAUCGGUCUCGGGGCGUUACAACGCUCCACCACUACGAGAGGAUCUCGUCCCGAGAUCUAGAAUGACACCGGAGGGAAAACAGAAGAGAAAGAGAAGAGGUAAAACUAAGUUGCUUCUUGACAAACGAGUGAAACCAAAGAACCUUGAGAGGUAUAACAACUAUGAGAAAAGAAUACAACAGAGAUGAACAAAGUUGAAAACACUCCGUUAGAAAACUUGAACAAGGAAGAACAACUCCGGGCAGCACUCCGGUUGAAAAAUGAAAAGAAACUUUAUAAGAUGAAAAGAACUUGAGUAGCGGGCACACUUCGGUAGAAACGAGAUGUAUAAGGAACAAUAAGGAUCAAUUACGAUAACACUCCGGUUAAAAGGAUAAGCAUGAAAAGAACAGGAUCCUGACAAGAACAAGAAGAAAGAUUGAAGAGAGCAACAACACAAUUCCUCCGGAAGAAAGAAAUAGAAGAUAGAUCAUUGAGAUAAAAGAAUGUAGAAGAAAAUGCCAACUUAUGCUACAAAAGAGAUUGAAAAGGUAUCCUUAGGAGAAGGGUCGAACGGAGUUGUUGGAAAACCAACAACGAAAAGAACAACGUUGUAGUGGACUUAUAGAAAACAUCUCAAAGCUAUGAGGUGAAAUUCUGCCACUAACGAAAAAUAAUAGAUUGGAUUGAUAUCAACAAGGAGACGAGAAACUUAUUUCACCGGGAGGAUAAAUGAAGAACUUGGAUCAUUUAUAAGCACCAUAAUUAGCAAAAUCCUUAGGGAAAGCUUUAGGUGAAAUAUAACCCAAGAUAACUCCAAAGAAGAGGUUGAUUGGUUGGAAAGAUGACUUGAGCAAAGAGAAAAUGAUGGAUUUAAAUACCUCACUCUUGAAAACAUGUGAAUCAUGAAACACGAAGGGAAAUUUGUCAAGAGUGACAUAACACCACCUCAAAAUAUAAGAAAGAAAGAAUCACACCUCGGAAUGCAAGAUGAAGAAUGCUUGAGCUCCUCUGAAAAGAAUGUUGAUGACCCUUCGAGAAGGAAUUAAAUCCUUGAUGAACCAUCAUGUAGACCUCCAUGAAGAACUCCGGUAAGCAAAGGGAUGAUCAAACGAAAGGAUAGAGAAGUUGGAAACACAAGGUGAAUCCUUGUAAUGAUUAGAUAGAUCUUUGGAAUGAUAUAAUUGAAAUAACUUUGAGCUCCGGAAAGAAAGAUUAAACAAGUGAAACCGAGAGUUUUUGAUGAGGCUCCGGAAUAAGGAAUUGAAUUUACUCGAUGAAACAAGAAUACGAAUUACAUUAUGCUUAUCCUUCAUCAAUUAAAUUGAUGACAAUCAACGGAUUUGACAUAUUACUUAUUCUCGUGGAAAAUAUUAAGAGAGAUAUAACAUAAACUUGAGAACGUCUUCAACAAAUUACCGGUAGGAUUGAGAAGAACGAAUGAAUAUAUACGAUAACGAAUGACGAGAACUCUUGCACGAACCACCGUUAGAAUUAAAAUAAACGAAGUAAGGGAUGAAUCGCCGGGUAAGAAUUGAAAAUGAACGAAGAAAAGAUAAAGAAACACCGGGAAGAAUUAGCAAGUGAACAAAAAUGUUUGAGUGAAUUUAUAUAUGAGAGAACGAAGAGAUCAUGCACUGAUUAGAGGAUAUUUGAUCGAUGCACCGGUAAAAUUAGGAGGAUGAGAGCUGAAAGCUGAGAAUGAAUAACUCUGAGAUGAUGGGCUCCGGAUAAUCAAACUGAGAAGACUCUUGAAUUGCUCCGGAUAGGUGAAAAGAAUUCCCACAAUCGAAAAUAAUUAUGAGAGGAUGGCAACAAGCUAGAAUCACGAAUCUCAGAGAGAACGGAUAUAUAUGGAGGAAAAGUCUUCUUCGUUCUUCAAAACCUGAGAAUGACGAUGAGAAACACCACCAUAAAUUGUUGAUGCAAUCCGGAAUAAAGAAGAAUAGAAAAGUUGAACCAAUGAUGAAAAGAAAUGAAAGAUCUUGGAGAAAGAUAUUUCACUGAUGAUAGAUCAUUCUUACAUCAAACUUAAAAAAAAGAUUUGAUAAUCGCUCCGGGAAAAUAAGAAGAGUUAGGUAAGAUCCUGGGAAAAGACCUAUGGGUUAGGGCCCACUCAAAAGGAAACACCGUUGAACAAUUUAAAAGAGAGGUUGCACCGGUUGAAUUAAAUGACUUGAAUGAAAUAACAUCCUCGAAAUAGGUUGAACUGAUCUUGAACGAAAAGAUGAGCCUUCUGAGAUAUUUUGAGCACUCUGGGACAAUAGAAUAGCGAGAGGUGAACGAUUAAGAAUUGCACCGGCAUGAGAAAACAUUGAAACGAGGAAAGGAUAUGAUCAACAAAGCUUGACUUGGAACCACCGGAGAUGAAAAGAAUGAAGAAUGACGAACUUGAAGCUCCAUUAGAAUCUUCAUGAGAAACACCGGGUAAGAACAUUGAAAGGAAAGAAAGAAGAGACUUCACAUCAAUAAAAUGAUACUUGAUUAAGACAUCCGAGUCCUCGAAGAAAAGAGGGUGGGAGGGUGGGAAAACAAAAACAACUUGGAGACGAAUGAAACAAACACCGUUGACCAAAAAUUUGAGUUGACCUUGUGGAUGUUGAAAAUGAUCAGAUCCACGUGAAGAGAAACACACCGGUGAAAAGGAGUGAUAUGACAAUCUUGAUUAUCGAGAAGGAUUAGUAUUCACAUCGGAGUAUGAGAACACCACUUAGAAAAGGUAUGGAAUCAACACUUGACAUUGAAGCAACUCGAAUACCACAACUCAAAACAAAAACAAAGGGUUGGCUUGCAGAAUAAGCCGGAACAAACAUAUGAUAGAGAUUUCAUCCGAAGUUUUCGUGGUGGGGCCUACAUGGGCUCGAUCGUACAACACCAUCAUGUACAAGGCAGUGCACAUGACAUACGAAGCGUCCCCGAGUCGGCAUAGCCAAGGACUCUUUAAGACACAACGAGACCACUAUAAAACCAACUGUGAAUAGGCGGACCACUAGACGUCGAACCCCAAUUUCGUAUCAUACAUCUGUCGGAAAGAAAUCCUAAGAGCUACUUGAAUUCCCACUUAUAAACUCCGGAAAUUUUCCGGUUAUGCAAUCAGGUGUUGGGGAUACAGGGGAAGCAUAUUAUCUCACCCAAAACUAGCAAAUCCUACAUCCAGCUGUAUCCAUCCUUCAACACAUAACCAAGAAACCUUCGGAAAUCUCUACCUCAACCUUCGAAAAGCAUCCGUUAUACAAGUUAUGGCAAUACUCCCGAACUCCUGCCCCAGUACUGGGUGGCGUCGAGGUUAUCUCACCAACGAACUGCAUAAAAGAGAUUUUCGAUGUCGGUGUACUAAACUCAGGUAUUCCAGAACUGCAACGAUAAGAUUGUGACGACAACACCUCGGAGCUCAACUCCCCGGGACACUGCCACAAAACCCCUAACAGGAGGCACCAAGACAAUGUUCUCAUCACAAAACCAUCGGAACGAUUCCAAGAUACCCGCGUGAUCCUAAAUUUUUUUUAGUGAAAUUUGAGAAGAGAAGAGUCAAAACUCUACGUCAGGAAGCCUCACCAGAGCGAUGAAGGGACUGAGGAGUAAAAGGAAUUCCUAGCUCUCCGAUAUAUAUAAUCCUAAAUGACUCAAAACAUUUUUCUAGACUCAACAACGGCUGCUAAAAACGAUCAAGCAGUGGGGGCUCCUAAGGUCGGGGGAAGGCUCUGAUUACCAACUUGUAACGCCCUCGAUGCGGCUAUAUCUCCCACGUGUCGAAGCACGUCUUAGAGGCAUAACCGCAUUGAAAGCAAUGUUGCAAGUGAGGUAAUCUUCACACAACCCAUGUAAUACAUAAGGGAAAGAGAUACAUAGUUGGCUUACAAUCGCCACUUCACCCAAUUACAUGAAUAAAGCAUUACAUCAAACAAUACAAUCAAGGUCCGACUACAGAACCAAAAUAAAAGAAGACUACCCCAAAUGCUACACAGAUCCCCGAUCGACCCCAACUGGGCUCCUCUACUGAUCAACUGGAAACAGAACAACAUAAAGGACAAGAUCAUCAUCGAGCUCCUCCUUGAGCUUGGUUGCGUCAUCUGCACGGUUCAACGGCACCUGCAAACUGGUUUUGGAAGUAUCUGUGAGUCACGGGGACUCAGCAAUGUCACACCCUCGCGAUCAAGACUAUUUAAGCUUAUGGGUAAGGUAAAAGGUAUGAGGUGGAGCUGCAGCAAGCGACUAGCAUAUAUGGUGGCUACACAUACGCAAAUAAGAGCGAGAAGAGAAGGCAAAGCACGAUCGAGAAACUAUGAUCAAGAAGUGAUCCUAGAACAACCUACGCCAAACAUUACUCCAACACCGUGUUCACUUCCCGGACUCCGCCGGAAAGAGACCAUCACGGUUACACACGCGGUUGAUGCAUUUUUAAAUAAGGUCAAAUUCAGGUUUUCUACAACCGGACGUUAACAAAUUCCCAUCUGCCCAUAACCGCGGGCAUGGCUUUCGAAAGUUCAAAUCCCUGCAGGGGUGUCCCAACUUAGCCCAUCACAAGCUCUCACGGUCAACAAAGGAAUAGACCUCCUCCCGAGACAUUCCGAUCAGACUCGGUAUCCCGAUUCUACAAGACAUCCUCGACAAUGGUAAAACAAGUCCAGCAACACCGCCCGAAUGUGCCGACAAAUCCCGAUAGGAGCUGCACAUAUCUCGUUCUCAGGGCACACUCAGAUGAGCAGUCCGUACAACUAAAACCAGCCCUCGAGUUUCUCCGAGGUGGUGCUGCAAGGGGCUCUAGUUUGGACCAACACUCAGAGGAGCACUGGCCCGGGGGGGUUAAAAUAAUGAUGACCCUCAGGAGCGCGACUCCCAAGGGAAAAAGAGGCUAGGUGGCAAAUGGUAAAACCAAUGUUGGGCAUUGCUGGAGGAGUUUUAUUCAAAGCGAACUGUCAAGGGGUUCCCAUUAUAACCCAACCGCGUGAGGAACGCAAAAUCCGGGAACAUAACACCGAUAUGACAGAAACUAGGGCGGCAAGAGUGGAACAAAACACCAGACAUAAGGUCGAGCCUUCCACCCUUUACCAAGUAUAUAGAUGCAUUAAAUUCAAUAAGAUAUAUUGUGAUAUCCCAACAUAUAAGCAUGUUCCAACAAGGAACAACAUCUCCAUGUUCCAACAAGGAACAAACUUCAAUCUUCACCUGCAACUAACAAUGCUAUAAGAGGGGCUGAGCGAAGCGGUGACAUAGCCAAUCAACGGUUUGCUAGGACAAGGUGGGUUAGAGGCUUGGUUCAACAAUAUGGGUGGCAUGAUAAGCAAGUGGUAGGUAUCGCAGCAUAGGCAUAGCAAAAGAGCGAGCAACUAAGCAAGCAAAGAUAGAAGUGAUUUCGAGGGUGUGAUCAUCUUGCCUGAGAUCCCGCAAGGAAGAAGAACGAGUCCAUGAAGAAGACAAACGGACGUAGUCGAAUGAAUCCUCACAACACGACGUUAUCGGAACCAACCCGAAGAAGCAACACCGGAAAGAAACAAACAAUCAUGGUGAACAAACAUCACAUAAGCAUGGCACGAUGCGCAAACAAGUAUGAUGCAUGUCCUGUUUAAUGAUAAAUGGCAUGGCAAAAUGCACAAGCAAUACUAUAAAUUAAGUGGAGCUCAAUAUGCAACUCCGUUGCAUAUUGACGAAACACCACGUGACUUAUUAAGUUCGAUCUUGUUUAUGUACCCAACAAUAUUAAAUGUUGUUAAACAUGGCAAGUGGGUGAAGCAAAGAAAACUACCUAUCUAGUCAAGUUUAAAUGAGGCCGGAAACAACGAACAACAAUUUCCGGAAACUCCUCAUAUGCAUAUAUUAGGUUUGGUACUUUUCUGCCCUAAACCAUAUUUUAUAGUUGUUAAACAUGCAAAGUAAAGCCACCAUGUUAAACUAGGCAUUUUCCCACCCCAUUUACAUAUAAAGUUUAUUAAAUUCAAAGUUACGGUUAUUUAGUUAUGAAUUAAAGCAUUUUAACAUGGCAUAGGAGCAAAUUUAAUCAAACACCAUUUUAAACAUUUCAAACAUGGAUGAAAGUUGCACAAUAUGAAUCUACACAAAAUUCUAAGCAUGUUUCAUAUAUAGAGUUUUUACAUAUGAUGCAUUAUUUAUAAGUUUUAUAUGCAUGAAGACUAGGGUUUUUUUUGUAAAACCGUAAACUCUGGAUAAUUACUAAAAUCACUCGACAGGAAAAAAACAUAGCGGGCGGAUCUGGCUGGCCCAACCGAAACAGGCGCUGGGGAAGGCUGCUCACCCAUGGGCCCCUUGGGCCGGCAGGAAAAAUAGAGGAGGC